RNAcentral lists this ribosomal RNA (889 nucleotides) under uncultured bacterium. RNAcentral's name for it is "bacterial SSU rRNA". It matches the Rfam family "Bacterial small subunit ribosomal RNA", at positions 8 to 916 of the family's 1533-position model. The record is from RNAcentral.
AGAGUUUGAUUCUGGCUCAGAAUGAACGCUGGCGGCAUGGAUUAGGCAUGCAAGUCGAACGAGAAUCACUUCGGUGAGGAAAGUGGCGAAAGGGUGAGUAACGCGUGAGUAAUUUGCCCUCGAGUUUGGAAUAACACUACGAAAGUGGUGCUAAUACCGGAUGUGGAAUAGUGAACGCAUGUUCACUAUAUCUAAAGGUUUACCGCUCGAGGAUGAACUCGCGUCCCAUUAGCUUGUUGGUAGGGUAAAGGCCUACCAAGGCGAUGACGGGUAGCUGGUCUGAGAGGAUGAUCAGCCACACUGGGACUGAGACACUGCCCAGACUCCUACGGGAGGCUGCAGUCGAGAAUCUUCCGCAAUGCGCGAAAGCGUGACGGAGCAAUGCCGCGUGAGGGAUGAAGGCUUUCGGGUCGUAAACCUCUGUCACAAGGGAUGAAUACAUGACAGUACCUUGAGAGGAAGCCACGGCUAACUACGUGCCAGCAGCCGCGGUAAUACGUAGGUGGCGAGCGUUAUUCGGAUUUACUGGGCGUAAAGGGUCCGUAGGGGGUUUGUUAAGUUUGAUGUGAAAUCCAACGGCUCAACCGUUGAACUGCAUUGAAAACUGGCAGACUAGAGUACAAGAGAGGAAAGUGGAAUUUCUGGUGUAGCGGUGGAAUGCGUAGAUAUCAGAAGGAACAUCGAAGGCGAAGGCAGCUUUCUGGCUUGUUACUGACCCUGAGGGACGAAAGUUAGGGGAGCGAACAGGAUUAGAUACCCUGGUAGUCCUAACAGUAAACGUUGUAUACUCGAUGUUGGAAGGUUUAACCCUUUCAGUGUCUUAGCUAACGUGUUAAGUAUACCGCCUGGGGAGUACGGUCGCAAGACUAAAACUCAAAUGAAUUGACGG